CUUGCACCUGGGGCUCCCAUAUCCCAGAUGAGUGCUCUGAGCCUCCGGCUUUUUUGGGACGGGGUGUCUCCCUCUCUCUCUGGCUUUCACCAGAAAUUGCACCCUGCACCUGAGAACCGUUCCCGAGAAAAGUACCGUCAACUCUGGUUGGGUGUGCUCUUGAUCUCAGGUCUAAGGUUGCAAAUAUCCAGUGUGAAGCUGCAAAUGUUUCUAUGCUCCCCCUAUCAUCUC
Long non-coding RNA from Trachemys scripta elegans, 231 nucleotides. RefSeq lists it as uncharacterized. NCBI's taxonomy places the organism in Eukaryota, Metazoa, Chordata, Testudines, Emydidae. The record is from RefSeq and is a predicted model, not a curated record. The transcript is spliced from 3 exons.